UACGGAGGGUGCAAGCGUUGCUCGGAAUUAUUGGGCGUAAAGGGUAGGUAGGUGGUCUUAUUUGUCAGGGGUGAAAGCCUUGGGCUUAACCUAAGAAGUGCCCCUGAAACGGUGAGACUUGAGUCCUGGAGAGGCGAGUGGAAUUCCCGGUGUAGCGGUGAAAUGCGUAGAGAUCGGGAGGAACACCAGAGGCGAAGGCGGCUCGCUGGACAGGCACUGACACUCAACUACGAAAGCGUGGGGAGCAAACAG
This 252-nucleotide ribosomal RNA is filed under the name uncultured bacterium. RNAcentral's name for it is "partial 16S ribosomal RNA". It matches the Rfam family "Bacterial small subunit ribosomal RNA", at positions 524 to 775 of the family's 1533-position model. The record is from RNAcentral.